Molecule: ribosomal RNA, 253 nt
Filed under: uncultured bacterium
Lineage: Bacteria
Description: partial 16S ribosomal RNA
Rfam family: Bacterial small subunit ribosomal RNA
Source: RNAcentral
UACGUAGGGGGCUAGCGUUGUCCGGAUUUAUUGGGCGUAAAGAGCGUGUAGGCGGCCAUGUAGGUCCGGUGUGAAAACUCGAGGCUUAACCUCGAGAUGUCAUCGGAAACCAUCUGGCUAGAGUCCGGAAGAGGCGAGUGGAACUCCUGGUGUAGCGGUGGAAUGCGCAGAUAUCAGGAAGAACACCAACGGCGAAGGCAGCUCGCUGGGACGGUACUGACGCUGAGACGCGAAAGCGUGGGGAGCGAACAGG